CUGGUUGAUCCUGCCAGACCCGACUGCUAUCGGAUUGGGACUAAGCCAUGCGAGUCAACUCCGCAAGGGGUGGCGCACGGCUCAGUAACACGUAGUCAACCUACCCUGGGGACGGGGAUAACCUCGGGAAACUGAGGCUAAACCCCGAUGGGCCAUGGCUCCUGGAAUGGGCUAUGGCUGAAAUCUACAUGGCCCCAGGAUGGGACUGCGGCCGAUCAGGUUGUUGGUGGGGUAAUGGCCCACCAAGCCUAUAACCGGUGCGGGCUCUGAGAGGAGGAGCCCGGAGAUGGGCACUGAGACAAGGGCCCAGGUCCUAUGGGGCGCAGCAGGCGCGAAACCUCCGCAAUGGGCGAAAGCCCGACGGGGUCAGUCCGAGUGGUUCCCGCUGAGGGAACCUUUUGCCAGCUGUAAACAGGCUGGCGAAUAAGGGGUGGGCAAGUUUGGUGUCAGCCGCCGCGGUAAUACCAGCACCCCGAGUGGUCGGGACGAUUAUUGGGCCUAAAGCAUCCGUAGCCGGCCCAGUAAGUCCUCCGUUAAAUCCAACGGCUCAACCGUUGGGCUGCGGGGGAUACUGCUGGGCUAGGGGACGGGAGAGGCGAGGGGUAUUCCCGGGGUAGGGGUAAAAUCCACUGAUCCCGGGAGGACCACCAGUGGCGAAGGCGCCUCGCUAGAACGUGCCCGACGGUGAGGGAUGAAAGCUGGGGGAGCGAACCGGAUUAGAUACCCGGGUAGUCCCAGCCGUAAACGAUGUAGGCUCGGUGUUGGGCUGCCUCAGUGGCAGCCCAGUGCCGCAGGGAAGCCGUUAAGCCUACCGCCUGGGGAGUACGGCCGCAAGGCUGAAACUUAAAGGAGUUGGCGGGGGAGCACCCC
Molecule: ribosomal RNA, 870 nt
Filed under: uncultured archaeon
Lineage: Archaea
Description: bacterial SSU rRNA
Rfam family: Archaeal small subunit ribosomal RNA
Source: RNAcentral